CUGCGGUUUCUUCCGGCGCGCUGGCGAGAGGGCCGUCCCCUUCCUAACAUUCCAACCUCUUAUUGGUGAUAAUGGGCGAGGGCUCUGAUCUGGCUGCUUCCAGCAGAUAUAAGGGAGGUGCCAUAGUAUGUGGCGGUGUGAGGUUGGAAUGCGCGAACAGCGCCAGACCGCCGUCUGAUGAAAUGCCACCUGGGAAACUUCAUGAAUUCGUUUCCCUACGAAACGGAGAAAACAAGCAAGGAAUGAUUAAAGUUGAGCUGAUGUCAAUGUGUGCUGGGCACCCUGUGACCCAAGUCUCAAAGUGAAACAUAUCCAAGUUCAAAUAAUCCAACCAGCUUCCAGCUUGUUUCUGCAGUGGAGAAAUAGUGCAUUUUGACACCAGCUCUUCAUUUGAUAAUCACUUCCAGAAUUCCCCUUAUCAAAGACGCAGAAGAUAGCACUUGACAUUCUGACCUGCCCUUAAGUGUUAACUUGAACAAUAAAUGGCUCAAAUUCUAGAUCCUCUUGAACUCCAGUAAGGAGGAUGCUCACCUUGAAUUAUGGCCAAGAGAAUGACAAUCACGAAGAAGAAGAAGGUGAUGUCAAAGAUGAUUCGAUAGAUCUCAUAUUCGUCGCCUGCUGGGUCUUCGAUUUCAUCGCCGAUACCCCCUCCGGCACGUACCCCGACGUACAUGUGGAACAUGUAGCACUGGAAAAGACAGACACAGUUACUUCCUGGAGACGCUGCCCAUCUGCACAUUGAACAAAGUUGAGGCUCUCUCUGUAGUUGCUAAUCCUCACUCUGGAAACUGACCAUCUCUGCCUUCUACAUUGCCUCUUUUUGUUUCAGUGUUUGUGAUUAUGAUGCAAACACGUGGCUCUUACACUCUGCUGUCCUUUGAACAAAACUCGACACGACACUCUGCCUCGCACCUUCCGUCACACUUUGCAGGGGAUGAAAAAUACCUCACUAGCAUCUGGCAUAAGGUAAUCCCAUUAAGAUCACAUUAAGGCCCACAAAGCUAUAUUUAAUCACACUGCUCUUUUUUUUUCUUUCUCUUUGAUCAGAACAGACAUAGGAGAGAGGAAGGAAAACCUCAAUAUUUAAUAAGACGGAAUCUCAGAAAUUAAGCUAGGAAAACACCGGACCCAAUAACGCCAUCCCCUCAUCCGUCAUGUUUGGAAUACGAUGCUGAAAUGUUUCUACUCUAAUGUGUACAAGAAAGAAGACAGAGGGGAGAAGCAAGGAGGAAAUAACAGCUCAUUGUUAAGAAUCUGAAACAUUAAAGCAACCAAUUAGAAGGAGAGCUCCAAGUGCCCACUGCAGAAGAGGGCAGGGUUUCUCAGCCUCAGUGCCGUUGACAUUUAGGGCCAGCUAAUUCUUUGGAUAGGAUCUGUCUCGUGCAUUGUAGGAUGUUUUAGAAGGAUCCCUGGCCUCUACCCACUCAAUGCCAAUAGCACCUCAUUGUAGAUAACCAAAAACGUCUGCAGACAUUGCCAAGCGUCCCCGGGAGGGCAAAAUCACAACAGUUGAGAGCCACUGGCUUCAAGCGUCAGUGUUUUAUCUGUUUUCAGGAUAAGGGCAGACUCUCCAGGUCGGGGCCUCAGAUUCAGGGACGCUUCAUCCCUCUCCACUGAUGGGCUACUGCUCCCGAGUACCACCCUGCACUCUAUCCACGCCUGUCAGAUAAACAACUCCCUAUUCUAGUUCUUGGUUUGCAUUUCCUUCCCAUCUUAAACAAUUAUUUCCCUUUCUUAUGCCAUUCCUUUUCACCCUCAGGUAACAAGCCUUCCUCCAUGAGGCCUUCUUAGACUGUUCCAGACACUCCGACUUACCCAACUGAUGUCAUCCAUGAGUACAAAACACAUUUACCCACCAUCUGCCUUAACGAAAGGGGCAAAGGCUUUGACACAGUGUCUUCACUUGGGGAGACACCACAAUCCCCUGGUCAUCUUCUACAUUUCUGGCCACCCUUUCUCAGCCUCCUUGGCCAGUUCUUCCUAGAGGAAUGUCCCCACUUUCACAGUUAAGUACCAUCUCUGUGCCAAUGACGUACAAUUUUUUUCUGUUUACACCUUGGGUCUCUUUCCUGAAUUCCAAACCUGUACCUACCACUUACCUAAUUUUGAUGCUUUGUGAUCUGUCUCACUGCACUGAACUGGCUUCAUUACAAGAAGAAUGACUUUGGUUACUGCUCUAUUAUCAGGGCCUAAAAUAAUGUCCAGCACAUGAGAGGAACUUAUACAUCACUGGGGCGGAGGGGGGGCGGUGAAUGAAGAGUGAAAAGUCAUGACUGAUCAGUGUUCUCAUGGAGACUUCACUGUCUCAGCCCAUGAACCUCAAAUUCUCAGAUGACCCCAAAGAGCACAAAGGACAGGCAACAGGUUGACCCCAAAAUGCUCAUAGUUCAACAGCUAAUAUAGUGAUAGAUGCAGCACACAGAAAGUGUCCUGGAGCAGAUGCCUGGAAUCUAAUGAUCAGAACCGAAUAACGACUGGGUCACUCAGGAAGGAGGUUUGUCAGUCUGGCACACAGUGAACGAAGAGGAUCAGAGGGCGGCUCUGUCACUGCCCAACCAAGAACCGUCUGGGGCUCAGGUAAGGGGUCUCUCUCACAGAUAAGCCAGAAAAGUCAUUUUUGUAGUGUUCAUUUAUUUUUGAGAGAGACAGAGUGUGAGCGGGGGAGGGACAGAGAAAGAGGGAGACGCCGACUGUGAAGCAGGCUCCAGGCUCCAAGCUGUCAGCACAGAGGCCGACGCGGGGCUCAAACUCACAGAUCGCGAGAUCAUGACCUGAGCAGAAGUUGGACGCUUAACUGACAGAGCCACCCAGGUGCCCAUAGAGUUUUUCUCUAGGGAAGAGAAUGCGUUCUCCUGCGGCAUGAACUCUUAAUGAGUAGGAUGUUGGUGUUCUGACUCAUACAUGUGACUCUUAGGAGCCUGGUUAAUGUGAGUCUGUCCUCAAGAGGAUGUUUAGUUUCCAGACAUGCACAGUUGAAGAUAGGACCAUGGAAUGAGGCUAAAUUACCAAAGCAAAUGUCUCCUACUUCUCAGGUCUCCUGUCAGCCAUCUAGCAACAUCCACGUCUCUCUGCUCACCUUCAUUCUGUGAAAGCUCUGAUGCUGACAAAAGGGCUCCCACCAUAUUUCAAUAAUAGACUCUGGCCAUGCUGAAAAGAUAGGCAGUCUUAUGCAUUUGAUUGUUUAGGCUUAGUAAGAUACCAGAUUUUAAAAGUAUAAAAUUCCAGGUUCACCUGUGGGAUUUUGAUACUGAUUUUCCCAACCUUAAUCUAUACUACCUGGUUAUCCCCAGAUAUAGCAGGUGGGUGGCUAGAAUAUGCGGUAGGGUGGUGAACAUCCACCUACGUAGGGCUGUCAGGCUUUUAGUUGUCAGAUGAUCAUUCUGCUCCUGAAAAUGGAAAAUCUCUCAUUCACCUUCCUUUUCACAGGAGCAGCUUAAACCUGAACAUCAGAGUUGGAGAAUGGAAAGCAGUAAUUCUGGGACACAAACCGAUACACUUUGUUCAGAGAAUCUGAGUCAUGAGGAAGGAAGGUGCCUGGUGCUACCAACACUGGGAAUACGCAGUCAGUUAUUCUCCAAAUUUAAUAUUCUAUGGUUUCUCCCCUACCCACUCAUCUCCCGAGUGGAUUCAUUCCAGAGUUAAUCACUAUUUAUGACAGCUUUAGGAAAUACUGAGGAGGGACAGUUUCUGGCGGAGUAGUGAAGAUCUUUAUGAGAUCUUUAUCCUGACCCCCCCCCCCAAAAUAGGGGGAGAAAUAAAAGUGGAAAGAGAAAGAGAGACUGGCAGAGAUUACUUGUUGGGAGGGUAGGGUAAAAUAAGUAAUUUAGAACAAUACCCUGAGCUGGGGAUUGUACUUCCCUAGGAGUAACUCAUUCUCUCAACCACCUGGUAAGUUUUUUCCAAAAAUCACAACAGGUCUGGACACCUUCCCUGCAGUUUCUGACUUGGGAUAUGAGGGUGGCCUCAUUGAGCUGCGGUUCAUAAAGGGAUGCCCUGGAAACUACCAGAAGCAAUGAAGGCACUGGAAACUCGGAUGUUGCCGAGAAAACAGGGCAUGAGUGAAGAAAACCCAUCUCAAGCAAACAAUCCUCGACUUCACCCUGUGAAGACUAAUUGUUAGAGACGGAUGUAAACGAAAGAUUCUCUUUUGAGAGAUACACGCAAGAUAUUAAGCGUGACCACUUCCUACGCCGUACUUCUGUCUUGCUAGCUGCUGGGUUUUGCUAAGCCUUGACUUUUAACGAGCACUACUACAAGUGAGCAGUUACAUUUUAAAUGUUGUUGGCUUGUUCAAACCUUGCUGCACAAGUAUUAAUAAGAGGCAAAUUAAAAGGGAUUUUGAGACCAACUAUUGUAAGGUAAAUCUAGGUGAUGUGGCCUCUGAUGUGAUCGUUUUUAAGAACAAUCAGCUGAAUGUGCAAAGCUACACAGACUCCUGUGUGCCUGAGAUCCGCCUGGCAGCAGUAUGGGAGCUGAGAUGUUGUUUGUGGCUUGGAAUUGAGUUUUCUCUUUUGCAAGAAGACACAUCUAAGGUACAUCCUCAUGAUGCCCCCAACCUCACCCCACCCAAAGGCAAGGUACAAAGCUUACCGUUAUGUGUAGAGAUAGAAACACCCAGAACAGACCUGGUUGUAGGUAGUCUCACUGGUAGGGGCAGAAAUCCCUUAAACUGGACAAAAUCCAGGCUCUAGCUCAGUCCUGAGGCCAUGGUCGAAACAUCAAGAAGCCUUAUUUCCUCACCCUAAAGUGAGGCAAACUUCUCUACCUCUUCCCUACACAUCCCAUGCAACUGGGUCAUGCCAACCAGGUAAAGGCAGUUUGUUGUCUUCCUAACUCACUUGUUGUUCAAACCAUGCCUGGAUUCCUCUCAUAAGUUCGUUGGGAAAAUUUACAAAAGCAAUGGAAACUCAUACCAAGAGUGAUGUUCGAAAUGUAGUCAUCCAAGGAUACUAUCAGGAUAAUUGAAUAGGGUCAAAUAUGACUCAUGACAUUAGAAGGAGACACCUGGAUGUUUCAGGGGUCUUACUGUGGUAGGAGGGGGGCAAGUGAGGCCCUGCCAAUCCCAAUGCCAACUCAAGAGCACUACCCGAAGUCAUCCUGACUUUCCAGCAAUCUUCAGCGAUUCAGCGGGCACCACACCCUCUGGCAGUGAAUCACCUUGCUAAACUUUCUGACUCAACCAAGGUGGACUUUGAGAUUUAGAACCAUGGGGGAGGGGGUGCUUCUGGAAGAGAAAUGAAUCUCCCUGGAGUCACAGCUGUCUGCUGUUAGUAAUGACUGACUCCCUUUUGUGCCUUGUUGACUCCUCCAGCUGUCUGCUCCCCUCCCUGCCUCUAGCCAGCUGCUACCCCAAGUCUUGAAGUCACCGGGUAGAGAGGCAAGGUGGGUAUUAAAGGCACCUCUCACAAGAGGAGAUGAAGGAUCCUUACUGGCGGUAAAGUGUCACGUUUAGUGACUCUGGGGGACGUCACUACCAGUGACGAAUCCCUUACUGUGUAAGUUUCUUCUCUCCCUAAUCUGUAGUCCUACUCCCUGUAGGAACCCUUGUUAACAGUGUCCCAUGUAUUCUUCCAGAAACACCCUGUACAUAUUCUAGUGUAUCUAAUAUGUACAUUCUAGCAUGUGUAUGUGUGCACACAAUCAGGAUCUUAUCAUAACACUGUUCAAGAUCUUGCCCCCCCUUCCCCACUGAAAUGCAAUCUGUAUGUCUUUCUAUAUCAGCACGUGCAGAUUUGUCUUAUUUUUAAACAACCUACCUUUCCAUGAUAUGGAUUUGCCAUAGUUGGUUUCAUCGGGACUCUAUUGAUAUAAUUUCGAUAUUUCCAAUUUGUGAUAGUAGCAAGCAAGUAUCCUUAAACCCACAGGAGCAUAUUUGUAAACAAACAUUUAAAUCAAUACAAUCAGUGGAACUGACAAGUCAAAGGGUAAGUACAAUGAAAAAUGUGAUAGAUAUUGCAAAAUUUCUGUAAAAUCAUUGUCUUAAUUUGAAUUCCCUACAAGUGUUCAUGAAAGUGCCAGUUUUUCCAUCGAUUCAACUGUGGGUAUUAACAAACUUUAAUAUUCUGCAAACCUAAUAAGAAGUGGCAAUUGAUUGCUUUGAUUUGCAUUUCUUUAAUCUUUGUCAAUUUGUAAGCUGACUGAAUUUUACCACGAGCUGAUUGUUCCUUUUCCUAUUGGUUUACUUCCUAGUGAUAAGUACUUAGUAAAUUAAGGACACUGGCCCUAUGUUAAUAUUUUUCCUAGUUUUUCAUUUGUCUUUAAGACAACGCUUAGUGUUGUUCCUUUUUAAAGUAAUUGUUUAGGACCCCAUGCAUCUUAGGUUUUAUGACACACUUAGAAAGACCUUUCCCCAUUUAAAAAUUAUUAUUAUUUCAAGGACGCCUGGGUGGCUCAGUCAGUUAAGUGUCCGACUUUGGCUCAGGUCAUGAUCUCCCAUGAUUCAUCUCACAUCAGGAUCUGUGCUGACAGCUCAGAGCUUGGAGCUUGCUUCGGAUUCUGUGUCUCCCUCUCUCUCUGCCCCUCCCCUGCUUGUGCUCUGUCUGUCUCAAAAAUAA
Molecule: long non-coding RNA, 6554 nt
Organism: Acinonyx jubatus (cheetah)
Lineage: Eukaryota; Metazoa; Chordata; Mammalia; Carnivora; Felidae
Exons: 5
Source: RefSeq, a predicted model, not a curated record